CAAAAAAUUCUCCAGAAAGAAAAUCUAGGGUGCCGGUGUAGACAGUCAGAUUCAAUUUCACCAGAGGUUAAACCUUCUUCCCCCAAUUAGCAUCGAUUUCACCGGUGAGAAGAUAUUAGAUUUCCCCGGCGAGCCUUGAAACCUUUCAUCCGACGAGCGUCAUUUUGCUGCCUUGUUUUCUCCGCCAGUGAAAUUUUCUGGCGACGAGGACCACCGCUGCUUCACCAUCCUCUGUCAUCUUCUCUGCCAAAACUCCAAAGUAUCUAACAUCUUUAAUUAAUUUCUGGGUUAUGGAUUCUUCUAGCAGUAAGCGCAACCAUCCACGACUACUCUACAAAAAAGGCAAAGCUCCUAGCCAGCCGAGGAGUAUGAGCUAUUAUAGCUAUUUGUCAAAUUUUCAAAUGGUAGAAGGUGUGGGACUUGAUGGAUGGGAUGAUGACGUUGAUGAUGAUGAUGUAACAAACUUGGUUCAUGAUAUCAGUCACAAUUGUGUAGAUCGUCGAUUUUGGGAUGUCAUGAAGAACCUCCAACUACUACAAGAAAGAAGCGCCCUACAUCUGUUCCCAAGACUGAUAUUAAGAGUUCAAAAAAGAAGGCUAAUGAUACAAAAACUGUUGGAAUUCAGGAAGACUGUUUAAUUCUCUGCACUUAUUUCCUUAGUGAAAUUGUAGUCUUAUUUUGUAGUCACAUCCACGUAAUUAGACGUAGAAGAAAAUAACAAGAUUAGAUUGUAAAUAGCACAAAACAUAAUUAAUACAAGUUGAGAAAAAGUA
Molecule: long non-coding RNA, 773 nt
Organism: Brassica oleracea var. oleracea
Lineage: Eukaryota; Viridiplantae; Streptophyta; Magnoliopsida; Brassicales; Brassicaceae
Exons: 2
Source: RefSeq, a predicted model, not a curated record